Molecule: ribosomal RNA, 253 nt
Filed under: uncultured bacterium
Lineage: Bacteria
Description: partial 16S ribosomal RNA
Rfam family: Bacterial small subunit ribosomal RNA
Source: RNAcentral
UACGUAGGGUGCGAGCGUUAAUCGGAAUUACUGGGCGUAAAGCGUGCGCAGGCGGCUUGCUAAGACAGGUGUGAAAGCCCCGAGCUUAACUUGGGAAUGGCGCUUGUGACUGGCAGGCUGGAGUGUGGCAGAGGGAGGUGGAAUUCCACGUGUAGCAGUGAAAUGCGUAGAGAUGUGGAGGAACACCGAUGGCGAAGGCAGCCUCCUGGGCCAACACUGACGCUCAUGCACGAAAGCGUGGGGAGCAAACAGG